Molecule: long non-coding RNA, 3702 nt
Organism: Dioscorea cayenensis subsp. rotundata (Guinea yam)
Lineage: Eukaryota; Viridiplantae; Streptophyta; Magnoliopsida; Dioscoreales; Dioscoreaceae
Exons: 8
Source: RefSeq, a predicted model, not a curated record
AUUAAUUAUUAUAAUCUCAAGUUUGAAUUAAUAGAAUUAUUUAAUAUUUUAAAAAAAUUUAAAAUUUAAAUUUGGCACCCCCUUAAUUUUAGUUCUGCUUCCGCCACUGCUUAGAACAACACUGGCUAGUUGUGAUAACUCAUUUCAGAGGGUAUCUAAGGCACCUUUGCCAGUUGACAAAGAAGUGAAGAAGGUUCUAUUGCUGUUUAUUUUGUUACUUGCCUAUCUAUUUUCUUUUGACAUUUUCCUUUCCUUCUUUCUGGGUGUGUGUGAGUGUUUUUUUUUUUUUUCUUUUGGUAAUAAAUCCUCUUUUCCCCCCAAUAUCUUAGUUUAUUGAACUUGUAGCAUGGAGUCAUUAUAUGCAGGUUAUUGGAUAUGUUGAGAAAGUAUCUACCAUCAGUAAUUGUAGGUUUAUAUCAGCUACCAGUGGCAUCUUUGCUGCAAAUAUUUCUGGUACUUUCACAAGGUAUUUUCCUUGUAUAUACCUUCAUCAAGAAAAAUGAACUUCAUGGUUUAAGAUUUUCACUUUCAGACUUAGCAUGGUGGUUGUUUGUGUCCUGGUAAUUCAUUUUUCGAAUUUUGAUUGUAUAGAGAAACAUAAAGAAAGUGAAAGUCUGAAUGUCCUUUUCCUUUGGAAUGUGUCACAUUAAUACUGAACAUAAGAAGCCAGUAGCCAUGAACAGAAGCGGGAUAGAAAAUGUGAUUCAGUGGAGGAAAUACGAUUGUGACAAGUUACCUAAAGUGCAGUAAGAGGUGUAAGCUUGGACCUGGUAGUUUGGAUUUCGGUUCAGCACAUUAAUUAACUUCCAAAAUAUCCAUGCGCAAUUUAUUGCCUCUGUUAAGUAUUUUUGUUUUUUGGUUCAUUACUGAAGAAAGAAAAAAAAAACCUUAAAUUGGCAGAGUUGAUAGUGAUAAAUAACUAACAAUUUAGUGGGGGUUGUACCAUAUGACUUGCUUAGACCUGCAUAGUUCUUGCGAUGUGUCUUGCAAUCAAGUAAUGGUGUGGGAGGUUAACUAGGGUUAUGCAUCACAGAAAAAGUCCUAUGUUGUUGAGGUGCUAAUGUGUGUCUAGAACCAAUUGCAGGUUAGCAACUCACAUGCGUGAAGUGGGGAUAGCUUGAAUUUGCCAGUCAAUUAUUAUGGUGAAUUCAUUUUCAGGCUGGCAAUGAUGUGUUAAAUCUAAACAUACUUUUGGCUAUCACUGAUAAUGAUGUGCCUCAAGUCUUGAUAAUUAUGAAACCAGGGGGAAUUAGAGCAUAGGAUUGGAUUCAGAACUAUGAAUGUAGAAGGAAGAGAUUCUAUUUCUUUGGUUUGCAUGUAAUAUCCUGCUCCAUAUAAGAAAAUCCAGGAACUCAACUUUUGGAACAUCUUAUAGGUGUUGUUUACUUUCUUUAUGCUCUACUGCUAUUUUUAUGCCAUAGCAUUUUCUCCUCCUUCAUACUGGACUCAACUUACUCAUGGACGUAAGAAUUUGUCUAUGUUAAGUAUUUUCAGAAGGCUUUUACGAAGAGUAAUUAACCUUAGCAUCCUUGGCUUCGUAAAGGAUUUUUUCUGGAUUCACCUAUACUGGGGUUGCUCAGGUAUUCAAUUCAUACUAGAAGUGGAAACAAAGGAACAACUCAAUGCUAUUCUCUAUUCUUGGUAGUGGGAAGCCAAUUUGGAUUUAGUGCCCGUAAGUCAAUGUGUUAGUAGGAGAGUUUUGUAAAUGCUAGGAUCUGAACAACUUGUUUAAUAAAACUACCCUAAGAAAGAAUUUCCUUUAUUCAGUAGGAAACAUGUAAAAAUACUUAAAGCACAGUUUGUUUCCAAUUUUUAGUUGUGAUGUUAUGAAAAAGCAAUAAGAUAUGUGAUCACUGUAAUAGUUUUGAUGCAUAGUUUUCUCUUAAUUGAGAGUUGACUUUAUAUUUUGAAUAUUGAUCAUAUGCCGGUGUUGACAAGAAAGGUCUAUCUCAGUGGUCAUCUCCUCUAUAGCAAAUAUGUUACUCCAAGUAUGUAAUUAGCUUAUGUUGUAUGAAUAAAGGUGACUUUUGUAUUUCAAUGGGUUAGAAUACUUGUAACAUGAAAUGGACAGAGUUCUUGCCUUGUGGAAUGGCUAUUCAAUAAUUACUCACACUAUCAUGUGGCGUCAUUAUAGAAGCUAGUAUAUUACGUUGCUCAAUUGUUCCUCUUCAACAUUUUAAACCAUAAAUAUGCUUUUUUUUUUUUUCAGUAACUUAUAUAUGCAUCCUAAGCAUAGUAGUUUAUGAAUAUUUUCAUGUUUUAGCCAUUUCUUUUUGAGAGGGAUAAUAGUGGCCUGCUGAUAUAAUCAGGAGGUGAUACUUAUAAAUUGAUUAAUCUGCUGGGUAAUAGUGUUUUUAGAAAUAACAUUCAUUUUGUUUUGUCUUUUUUGUUCUUUGUUCCAACGCAAGAGAUACUUAUCAUUUUUUAGAAAUAUCCUCUUGACCAGCAUGUCAUGGUUGAUGUGGAAGUGGAGAGGCUAGUAAAUGAAGAGAAUGAUUUAAAAUCGGUUCUUGAAGUCCCUUUGGAUGAUGUUUCUGAUUUCUUAUAUGCACAUUUCAUUAAUUUAGAUGGAGAAUCUACAAUAGAAGAGAAAGGUUGCAGUUAUUUGUAAGGCAUCUAUAGACUGCAUAUCUGAUGAAGAAGCUGAAAAUUUUCUGUCUUACAUGCAAGAAAAUGAGAAUUCUGUUACAUUGACUACCAUUUACCAGUUAAAGGGCUUAGAAUGGGUCAUAGUAUUUAUUCAUUGUGAAGCCCACCAUGAUAGGCUGUCAAUGGACACGUGAUGGACAUUUGUUGUUCAUGGGUCCGUUGGACUGUUAAUGAGCCUUCUUAGAAUUCUGUUGGUGAAGUCACAUUUAGCUUUUGAAAUCAGUGGCCAUGCAGCUCUGAAGGAGAACCAUUGGCUUGAUGAUGGAGCCUACAUUAUGCUAUGAUAUUUUAAAAUGUCAUUAGCUUCAUCAUUAGGUUCAUGAGAGCUUCAGGUUUGGGUUGUGGCCAUAAAGUUUUGACUGAUACGGUUGACGGAUUGGAUGAAGCUGAAGUGGAAGUGGAAUUGAGGUUGAAGAUUGAUCAGAACCGUGUUCAUCUCAAAGGAGCGUAAGCUUGAUGGUUGUUUGCCAUAGCCUUCCUCUGGCCCUCCUGUUCUCACAGUGCACAAGUUCACCAUGCUCCAUUUUCACAUGAUAACAAUUAGUUUGAUUUGACUAUUGUGAGCGAUGCAAUGCUGACUAUACGAUGUUACUGUGAAAUGAAAUUAAGUUACUUGAGAAUAGAUUUUAUCCUAGAAAUUUAAACGCUUCAGAUCUUUUUGGGACUAUGGAGAGGCAGUACUGAUACACACUUAAUUAGAGAACAGGAAUACUUCAGAUUUGAAAUUGAAUAAGGCACCUGUCAACUAUGAAGGGGGCAUGUUAGAGUGUCGGAACGUGGUGGCCGGUUCCUGCUAAGGCUUUCUUUGCAUGAUCCUGUUCUCCACUGAACGUUGAGGUUGCUUGCACCAAAGGGAUUGCCCGCUCUGGCCCGCAAUUCCACGCCUAUGAUUUUGAGCCCUUCCCUUCACAUUGGGAGUUGCAACUAUUUCGUUUUGCAUUUUAAACAGAGGCGGUAUUGUGAUUGUACUUGAAUGUGUUUUUCCAGAUUUCCCUGAUGACCAGGGAUGGAGAUUCGUUCCCCAGUGAAAUAGGCAAGAAAUGGUUAAUCAAA